This 47-nucleotide ribosomal RNA is filed under the name Uromyces viciae-fabae. RNAcentral describes it as "partial 25S rRNA". Lineage: Eukaryota; Fungi; Basidiomycota; Pucciniomycetes; Pucciniales; Pucciniaceae. The record is from RNAcentral.
GUGGGACUACCUGCUGAACUUAAGCAUAUCAAUAAGCGGAGGAAAGG